Molecule: transfer RNA, 64 nt
Filed under: Dianemobius fascipes
Lineage: Eukaryota; Metazoa; Arthropoda; Insecta; Orthoptera; Trigonidiidae
Also listed under: 1 other name
Description: tRNA-His
Source: RNAcentral
ACUUAAUUAGUUUAUUGAGAAAUAUUGAUUUGUGGAAUCAAAGGAGAAGGUUUUUCAUUAAGUA